This 248-nucleotide ribosomal RNA is filed under the name uncultured bacterium. RNAcentral describes it as "partial 16S ribosomal RNA". It matches the Rfam family "Bacterial small subunit ribosomal RNA", at positions 8 to 245 of the family's 1533-position model. The record is from RNAcentral.
AGAAUUUGAUCCUGGCUCAGGAUGAACGCUAGCUACAGGCUUAACACAUGCAAGUCGAGGGGGCAGCAUCAUCAAAGCUUGCUUUGAUGGAUGGCGACCGGCGCACGGGUGAGUAACACGUAUCCAACCUGCCGACGAACACUGGGAUAGCCUUUCGAAAGAAAGAUUAAUACCGGAUGGCAUAAUUAUUCCGCAUGGGAUAAUUAUUUAAAGAAUUUCGGUUGUCGAUGGGGAUGCGUUCCAUUAGG